Molecule: long non-coding RNA, 847 nt
Filed under: Piliocolobus tephrosceles (Ugandan red Colobus)
Lineage: Eukaryota; Metazoa; Chordata; Mammalia; Primates; Cercopithecidae
Description: lncRNA (ENSPTEG00000001685.1)
Source: RNAcentral
CACUCACUUCCUGUAGCCCUGACCAGAAUCCUUCCAUUCUGUAAAAUGCAAACACCUUCAGAAGGGGAUGGCUACUUUCAUCCCUAAGGUCUUAAUGUGAUCUGGUUUAGAACUCUUUUCUUUGUGGGAGGGGGAAAAAUAGGAGUAGGAAGCAAAAAGAAAAGGGUCAGGAAGCGCUAAGGGGAAGGAAUGGGGUGCCGCCUUUCCGUGUGGCUGAUGGCCGACCUUGGUUCUGGGUGCGUGGGUUCUGAGACCACCCUCAAUGACACAAAGUGUGUUAAAUACAGGGUGUCCUGAUGCGGGAUGCAAAACAACACCCACCCUCUCCCCCAGCCUACCCUCAUAAGCCGAAUAUUAAUUCUACGCCCCACAAACACUUUGAUGGCAUCGAUGCGGUCUAACAGUACGUUCUGUUUUCUGCCAUGCAGUGUGGGUAAUCGCUCAGCGCUCUUCGGUAGUGAAAGAAUCAGACUCCACUGCAGAAAACACCUCAUUCUAUUCUCAGAAGAAACACCAGAGGCUUUCGCACGAUCCCUUUUUCCUGAAACUGACUCUGCUGAGGAUGUGAUGUGGAUACGGUUCUUAUCAAAUAUCUGGAACACAGAAGAGCUUAUUACAUGUUGUGUGGAUGGAUUAAGCUUGCUAAGCUAUUUGGAAACAGGAAGAAAAAGCGUGCCCGGAAUUCGGAGACCACCCAUGGAAAGGCACGACCUCCACUGGGUGUUCAGGACUUGAGGUGGUCAGUAUUUCUGCUCCUUCCCAGCAGACCAGCUUGCUCCCACUCAACCCCAUGGCUUGCCUUCUCUUCCUUGGAAAUCUUACAUGCAUCUUGUUGCCUGACCAUCCC